RNAcentral lists this ribosomal RNA (748 nucleotides) under Lepraria eburnea. Its description in RNAcentral is "SSU rRNA". It matches the Rfam family "Bacterial small subunit ribosomal RNA", at positions 410 to 1161 of the family's 1533-position model. Lineage: Eukaryota; Fungi; Ascomycota; Lecanoromycetes; Lecanorales; Stereocaulaceae. The record is from RNAcentral.
AUAGCUGAUUGCACCAACAAAUACUUGAUGCAAUAUUGACUCUGUCAAAUAAAAUUCUAGGUAGAAUUAUGAUAAUGACAUUGUCUGCCUAUAUGUCUUGACCAAAUUACGUGCCAGCAGUCGCGGUAAUACGUAGAAGACUAGUGUUAUUCAUCUUUAAUAGGUUUAAAGGGUACCUAGACGGUAAAUCAAGCCUUCACAGGGACUAAUUUACUAGAGUUACUUACGAGGGGGUAUUAAAGUACUGCAGGUGUAGAGAUGAAAUUCUGUCAUACCUCUUUUCAAAAGAAAAAUCAUGGCACAGGUAUAGGUGAAAGCAUCCCCUUAUGUGAUAACUGACGUUGAAGGACGAAGGCUUUGUGUCGCGAACAGGAUUAGAUACCCCAGUAGUCAAAGCAGAAAAUGAUGAAUGUCAUAGAUUAGAUAAAUAGUUUAUUCUAUAAAUGAAAAUGUAAGCAUUCCACCUCAAGAGUAAUUUGGCAACAUUGGAACUGAAAUCAUUAGACCGUUUCUGAAACCAGUAGUGAAGUAUGUUGUUUAAUUUGAUGAUCCGCAAAAAACCUUACCACAAUUUGAAUAUUUAUAUCUAUCUUUUUUUUCGUAAAGAAAUAAAAAGGUAAUAUGUUUACAAGCGUUGCACGGCUGUCUUCAGUUAAUGUCGCGAGACUUUGGUUAGUUCCAUUAAAUUAACGUAAACCCUUACUUUAUUUUUAUAUGAAGUAGUUCCCCGCUAUAUUGGAUAUGAUAA